AUGCAGUCGAGCGGUAACAGAAAGUAGCUUGCUACUUUGCUGACGAGCGGCGGACGGGUGAGUAAUGCUUGGGAACAUGCCUUGAGGUGGGGGACAACAGUUGGAAACGACUGCUAAUACCGCAUAAUGUCUACGGACCAAAGGGGGCUUCGGCUCUCGCCUUUAGAUUGGCCCAAGUGGGAUUAGCUAGUUGGUGAGGUAAUGGCUCACCAAGGCGACGAUCCCUAGCUGGUUUGAGAGGAUGAUCAGCCACACUGGGACUGAGACACGGCCCAGACUCCUACGGGAGGCAGCAGUGGGGAAUAUUGCACAAUGGGCGCAAGCCUGAUGCAGCCAUGCCGCGUGUGUGAAGAAGGCCUUCGGGUUGUAAAGCACUUUCAGUCAGGAGGAAAGGGUGGUGGUUAAUACCUGUCAUGUGUGACGUUACUGACAGAAGAAGCACCGGCUAACUCCGUGCCAGCAGCCGCGGUAAUACGGAGGGUGCGAGCGUUAAUCGGAAUUACUGGGCGUAAAGCGUACGCAGGCGGUUUGUUAAGCGAGAUGUGAAAGCCCCGGGCUCAACCUGGGAACUGCAUUUCGAACUGGCAAACUAGAGUGUGAUAGAGGGUGGUAGAAUUUCAGGUGUAGCGGUGAAAUGCGU
This 640-nucleotide ribosomal RNA is filed under the name Pseudoalteromonas sp. 1AR. Its description in RNAcentral is "bacterial SSU rRNA". It matches the Rfam family "Bacterial small subunit ribosomal RNA", at positions 55 to 691 of the family's 1533-position model. The record is from RNAcentral. Lineage: Bacteria; Pseudomonadati; Pseudomonadota; Gammaproteobacteria; Alteromonadales; Pseudoalteromonadaceae.